CUAUCCCGACUACGUUGAAAACACCGGUUCUCCUCGGAUCCACUGAAGUUAAGCAAUGUCAGGCCCGGUCAGUACUUGGGAGGGUGACCACCUGGGAACACCAGGUGUAGCUGUAGGCU
This 119-nucleotide ribosomal RNA is filed under the name Cordylochernes scorpioides. The record is from RNAcentral. Lineage: Eukaryota; Metazoa; Arthropoda; Arachnida; Pseudoscorpiones; Chernetidae.